AGAGGUGCAAGCGUUAAUCAGAAUGACUGGGCGUAAAGGGCGUGUAGGUGGUUGACUGGUUUGAUGUGAAAUCCCCGGGCUUAACCUGGGAGUGGCGUCGAAAACGGGUUGACUAGAGUGAGAGAGAGGGUUGUGGAAUUUCCGGUGUAGCGGUGAAAUGCGUAGAUAUCGGAAAGAACAUCAGUGGCGAAGGCGACAACCUGGCUCUUAACUGACACUGAGGCGCGAAGGCGUGGGAGCAAACAGGAUUAGAUACCCUGGUAGUCCACGCGGUAAACGAUGAGAACUGGCUGUGAGGCGUGGGACUUCGGUUCUGCGCGACGUAGCGAAGCUAACGCGUUAAGUUCUCCGCCUGGGGAGUACGGCCGCAAGGUUA
Molecule: ribosomal RNA, 376 nt
Filed under: uncultured bacterium
Lineage: Bacteria
Description: bacterial SSU rRNA
Rfam family: Bacterial small subunit ribosomal RNA
Source: RNAcentral